GGAUGCUGGCAUUUGCAAGGCGGAGGAUUAACUGGUUGAGCCAUCAUGCUGGCCCUGGCCUCCAAGUCUUCGAUAAAUUAGUGCUUGGGCCAUGAGCAAGUUUUGGUUUGGGGAAGAUCUUAUAGAAAAAAUCCUGCAAAUAAUUUGUGAUAAAAAGAUGUUGUGGUCAGGGACAAAAACCACUUCUUCGGGAUAGAAUGUAUAAAAGUCACAUUUAACCUCCUCCUUGGCAACAUCUUCUGAGGACAGAGUUGGGAUUCCUGCAGGAUUUCUCACUCCUUGCAGCAUUGUGAUGUCCUGUGAGAACUUAGCAGCAGUGCCACCUUGUCCCGUGGUUAUGCAAUUUAAUGAGCACAGACUCUCCCAGCUCAUGGAUGCACUUUGUUGGAUGUGAAUUCUUACAGUUGUGGGUCCAGUUAAAAUGUGAAGCUAUGACAAAGAUAUUUAAUGUGAUAUGAUCAUAAGCAUUUGAAAAGAGGACUCAUUACUUGUUUUUGAGGCAGGUUUCCCUUUAAAAAGAUACAUGCUGACUACUGUAAAGUCAAAUAUGUAGAAAUAAUGAGACAUGUUUCUGCU
Long non-coding RNA from Ochotona curzoniae (black-lipped pika), 576 nucleotides. RefSeq lists it as uncharacterized. The record is from RefSeq and is a predicted model, not a curated record. Lineage: Eukaryota; Metazoa; Chordata; Mammalia; Lagomorpha; Ochotonidae. The transcript is spliced from 2 exons.